Molecule: ribosomal RNA, 675 nt
Filed under: Bacillus sp. (in: firmicutes)
Lineage: Bacteria; Bacillati; Bacillota; Bacilli; Caryophanales; Bacillaceae
Description: bacterial SSU rRNA
Rfam family: Bacterial small subunit ribosomal RNA
Source: RNAcentral
CGUAAAACUCUGUUGUUAGGGAAGAACAAGUAUCGUUCGAAUAGGGCGGUACCUUGACGGUACCUAACCAGAAAGCCACGGCUAACUACGUGCCAGCAGCCGCGGUAAUACGUAGGUGGCAAGCGUUGUCCGGAAUUAUUGGGCGUAAAGCGCGCGCAGGCGGUUUCUUAAGUCUGAUGUGAAAGCCCACGGCUCAACCGUGGAGGGUCAUUGGAAACUGGGAGACUUGAGUGCAGAAGAGAAGAGCGGAAUUCCACGUGUAGCGGUGAAAUGCGUAGAGAUGUGGAGGAACACCAGUGGCGAAGGCGGCUCUUUGGUCUGUAACUGACGCUGAGGCGCGAAAGCGUGGGGAGCGAACAGGAUUAGAUACCCUGGUAGUCCACGCCGUAAACGAUGAGUGCUAAGUGUUAGAGGGUUUCCGCCCUUUAGUGCUGCAGCUAACGCAUUAAGCACUCCGCCUGGGGAGUACGGCCGCAAGGCUGAAACUCAAAGGAAUUGACGGGGGCCCGCACAAGCGGUGGAGCAUGUGGUUUAAUUCGAAGCAACGCGAAGAACCUUACCAGGUCUUGACUCCUCUUGCUCCCUAGAGAUAGGGAUUUCCCUUCGGGGACAAGAGUGACAGGUGGUGCAUGGUUGUCGUCAGCUCGUGUCGUGAGAUGUUGGGUUAAGUCCCGC